RNAcentral lists this small RNA (29 nucleotides) under Bombyx mori (domestic silkworm). Its description in RNAcentral is "piRNA piR-bmo-2222189". Lineage: Eukaryota; Metazoa; Arthropoda; Insecta; Lepidoptera; Bombycidae. The record is from RNAcentral.
UAUAGACCAGCCGUCGGAGAAUUCGUGGU